CCUACGGGUGGCUGCAGUGAGGAAUAUUGGUCAAUGGACGAGAGUCUGAACCAGCCAAGUAGCGUGAAGGAUGACUGCCCUAUGGGUUGUAAACUUCUUUUAUAUGGGAAUAAAAUGUUCCACGUGUGGGAUUUUGUAUGUACCAUAUGAAUAAGGAUCGGCUAACUCCGUUCCAGCAGCCGCGGUAAUACGGAGGAUCCGGGCGUUAUCCGGAUUUAUUUGGUUUAAAGGGAGCGUAGGUGGAUUGUUAAGUCAGUUGUGAAAGUUUGCGGCACAAACGGAAAAUUGCAGUUGAAACUGGCAGUCUUGAGUACAGUAGAGGUGGGCGGAAUUCGGGGUGGAGCGGUGAAAUGCUUAGAUAUCACGAAGAACUCCGAUUGCGAAGGCAGUUCACUGGACUGAAACGGAAACUGAGGCUCGAAAGUGUGGGUAUCAAACAGGAUUAGAUACCCGAGUAGUC
RNAcentral lists this ribosomal RNA (460 nucleotides) under uncultured bacterium. RNAcentral's name for it is "partial 16S ribosomal RNA". It matches the Rfam family "Bacterial small subunit ribosomal RNA", at positions 338 to 795 of the family's 1533-position model. The record is from RNAcentral.